Molecule: long non-coding RNA, 186 nt
Organism: Dreissena polymorpha
Lineage: Eukaryota; Metazoa; Mollusca; Bivalvia; Myida; Dreissenidae
Exons: 3
Source: RefSeq, a predicted model, not a curated record
CCCGCCAUGAAGGAUCGCCUUAACGAGAUGGCACAAUCGUUCGGUAUGCAGCUGGAUGACGUCGAAGAAGCCCUUAACAACCCACCAGAGAAACUCAAGGAAUACUUUGACAAGAAUGCCAAGAAGAAGGGGAAGUCUGAAUUAUAAACGACGUCAAAAUGAGAUACAGCAGUGCAUUUAUUUAUA